This 497-nucleotide ribosomal RNA is filed under the name uncultured bacterium. RNAcentral describes it as "partial 16S ribosomal RNA". It matches the Rfam family "Bacterial small subunit ribosomal RNA", at positions 28 to 507 of the family's 1533-position model. The record is from RNAcentral.
GAUGAACGCUGGCGGCGUGCCUAAUACAUGCAAGUCGAGCGAACAGACGAGGAGCUUGCUCCUCGGACGUUAGCGGCGGACGGGUGAGUAACACGUGGAUAACCUACCUAUAAGACUGGGAUAACUUCGGGAAACCGGAGCUAAUACCGGAUAAUAUAUUGAACCGCAUGGUUCAAUAGUGAAAGACGGUUUUGCUGUCACUUAUAGAUGGAUCCGCGCCGCAUUAGAUAGUUGGUAAGGUAACGGCUUACCAAGGCAACGAUGCGUAGCCGACCUGAGAGGGUGAUAGGCCACACUGGAACUGAGACACGGUCCAGACUCCUACGGGAGGGAGCAGUAGGGAAUCUUACGCAAUGGGCGAAAGCCUGACGGAGCAACGCCGCGUGAGUGAUGAAGGUCUUCGGAUCGUAAAACUCUGUUAUUAGGGAAGAACCAAUGUGUCAGUAAAUAUGCACGUCUUGACGGUACCUAAUCAGAAAGCCACGGCUAACUACGUG